UACGUAGGGUCCGAGCGUUGUCCGGAAUUAUUGGGCGUAAAGGGCUCGUAGGCGGUUUGUCACGUCGGAAGUGAAAACUCAGGGCUCAACCCUGAGCGUGCUUACGAUACGGGCAAACUAGAGGUAUUCAGGGGAGAACGGAAUUCCUGGUGUAGCGGUGGAAUGCGCAGAUAUCAGGAGGAACACCGGUGGCGAAGGCGGUUCUCUGGGAAUUACCUGACGCUGAGGAGCGAAAGCAUGGGGAGCGAACAGG
This 253-nucleotide ribosomal RNA is filed under the name uncultured bacterium. RNAcentral's name for it is "partial 16S ribosomal RNA". It matches the Rfam family "Bacterial small subunit ribosomal RNA", at positions 524 to 776 of the family's 1533-position model. The record is from RNAcentral.